This 253-nucleotide ribosomal RNA is filed under the name uncultured bacterium. Its description in RNAcentral is "partial 16S ribosomal RNA". It matches the Rfam family "Bacterial small subunit ribosomal RNA", at positions 524 to 776 of the family's 1533-position model. The record is from RNAcentral.
UACGAAGGGUGCUAGCGUUGCUCGGAAUUACUGGGCGUAAAGGGCGCGUAGGCGGAUAGUUUAGUCAGAGGUGAAAGCCCAGGGCUCAACCUUGGAAUUGCCUUUGAUACUGGCUAUCUUGAGUUCGGGAGAGGUGAGUGGAAUGCCGAGUGUAGAGGUGAAAUUCGUAGAUAUUCGGCGGAACACCAGUGGCGAAGGCGACUCACUGGCCCGAUACUGACGCUGAGGCGCGAAAGCGUGGGGAGCAAACAGG